GCACAGGUGGUUCAAUGGUAGAAUCUGGCCCUUCCAAGGCUAAGACCCGGGUUCGAUUCCCGGUCUGUGCA
Spraguea lophii 42_110 is the source of this 71-nucleotide transfer RNA. It matches the Rfam family "tRNA". From Rfam's summary of the family: Transfer RNA (tRNA) molecules are approximately 80 nucleotides in length. Their secondary structure includes four short double-helical elements and three loops (D, anti-codon, and T loops). Lineage: Eukaryota; Fungi; Microsporidia; Spragueidae. The record is from Rfam.